UGAUAACUGUUUUAAAUACAACUUGAGGGCUCAUGUGAUGGACUGAACGUCCAAGAUUUGUACUUUGCUUGAUGGAUAAUUAUAUAGGGUUGGAUUCAGAAUUAUGAGUUUUUCGGGUUCUGGUUUCAAGAAAAGAAGACAAAAAGUUGUACUGCUACUAAUGUCAUUGCUCAUGAUUAUAAAGUUUUAUGGAAGAAGGAGCCAAUUCGCACUUGUUGAGCUCUCUGCCUUCUGCAUUUAAAUUGUGAGAAGUUUCUCGGCCCAAAUUUUGUAUACAUCGCCCGUCACAUGACUAUGUGAAUUCGGCCCGAAGUUAUUAUUUUAGUAAACUUUACCUAA
Long non-coding RNA from Solanum dulcamara, 339 nucleotides. RefSeq lists it as uncharacterized. Lineage: Eukaryota; Viridiplantae; Streptophyta; Magnoliopsida; Solanales; Solanaceae. The record is from RefSeq and is a predicted model, not a curated record. The transcript is spliced from 3 exons.